CCAAUUUUCUGCCACCGAAUACAUUAGCAUGGGAUAAUGGAAUAGGACCCUGUCCUCCUAUUUUCAGUUGGUUUUGGCAGCGCGAGGACUAGGGUMWUGAUUAAUAGGGAUAGUUGGGGGCAUUAAUAUUUAAUUGUCAGAGGUGAAAUUCUUGGAUUUAUGAAAGAUUAACUUCUGCGAAAGCAUCUGCCAAGGAUGUUUUCAUUAAUCAAGAACGAAAGUUAGGGGAUCGAAGACGAUCAGAUACCGUCGUAGUCUUAACCAUAAACGAUGCCGACCAGCGAUUAGGAGACGUUGAAUACAAAACACCACCAUCGGUUGCGGUCGUCCUUGGCGUCUCGGUUUCGGCCGGGGCGCGGGGACGGCUUAGCCCGGUGGCACCGGUGAAUGACUCCCCUAGCAGCUUGUGAGAA
RNAcentral lists this ribosomal RNA (413 nucleotides) under Acanthamoeba sp. SGC-13. RNAcentral describes it as "SSU rRNA". It matches the Rfam family "Eukaryotic small subunit ribosomal RNA", at positions 792 to 1107 of the family's 1831-position model. Lineage: Eukaryota; Discosea; Longamoebia; Acanthamoebidae. The record is from RNAcentral.